GACGAACGCUGGCGGCGUGCUUAACACAUGCAAGUCGAACGGAAAGGCCCUGCUGGUGUGGGUUGCUCGAGUGGCGAACGAGUGAGUAACAAGUGAGUAACCUGCCCUUGACUUUGGACUAACGUCAGCAAACUGGGGCUAAUACCGGAUAGGAGCUCCUCCUGCAUGGGGGGGGUUGGAAAGUGUCGGCGGUUGGGGAUGGACUCGCGGCUUAUCAGCUUGUUGGUGGGGUAGUGGCUUACCAAGGCUUUGGUGGGUAGCCGGCCUGAGAGGGUGACCGGCCAAAUUGGGACUGAGAUACGGCCCAGACUCCUACGGGAGGCAGCGGUGGGGAAUAUUGCACAAUGGGCGGAGGCCUGAUGCAGCAACGCCGCGGGCGGGAUGACGGCCUUCGGGUUGUAAACCGCUUUCGCCUGUGACGAAGCGUGAGUGACGGUAAUGGGAGAAGAAGCACCGGCUAACUACGUG
Molecule: ribosomal RNA, 468 nt
Filed under: uncultured bacterium
Lineage: Bacteria
Description: partial 16S ribosomal RNA
Rfam family: Bacterial small subunit ribosomal RNA
Source: RNAcentral